UACGGAGGGGGCUAGCGUUGUUCGGAUUUACUGGGCGUAAAGCGCACGUAGGCGGACUUUUAAGUCAGGGGUGAAAGGCCUGGGCUCAACCCGGGAACUGCCUUUGAUACUGAGAGUCUCGAGUCCGGGAGAGGUAAGCGGAAUUCCAAGUGUAGAGGUGAAAUUCGUAGAUAUUUGGAAGAACACCAGUGGCGAAGGCGGCUUACUGGACCGGAACUGACGCUGAUGUGCGAAAGCGUGGGGAGCGAACAGGAUUAGAUACCCUGGUAGUCCACGCCGUAAACGAUGAGUGCUAGUUGUCGGGGGUUCGGCCUCCGGUGACGCAGCUAACGCGUUAAGCACUCCGCCUGGGGAGUACGGCCGCAAGGUUA
RNAcentral lists this ribosomal RNA (371 nucleotides) under uncultured bacterium. Its description in RNAcentral is "bacterial SSU rRNA". It matches the Rfam family "Bacterial small subunit ribosomal RNA", at positions 524 to 896 of the family's 1533-position model. The record is from RNAcentral.